This is a small nuclear RNA of Cebus imitator (Panamanian white-faced capuchin), 141 nucleotides long. Its record names the gene U4. It matches the Rfam family "U4 spliceosomal RNA". From Rfam's summary of the family: U4 small nuclear RNA (U4 snRNA) is a component of the major U2-dependent spliceosome. The structure of U4 snRNA from yeast and human has been reported. Lineage: Eukaryota; Metazoa; Chordata; Mammalia; Primates; Cebidae. The record is from Ensembl.
AGCUUUGCGCAGUGGCAGUAUCAUAGCCAAUGAGGUUCAUCCGAGGUGCGAUUAUUGCUAAUUGAAAACUUUUCCCAAUACCCCGCCAUGAUGACUUGAAAUAUAGUCGGCGUUGGCAAUUUUUGGCGGUCUCUAUGGAGA